GGGAGUGAGGGAACGUUGAGAUGUGUGUUUGGGGUUGCGAGACAAAGAUGGGGUGGCGGCUGGGGUGAAGGGUAACUGGGGAGCCACCAGGGAGGAAGUAUAAUGGGGGUGCAGAGUUUGCGGCUCUGUGUAGGGUGUAGGGAUGUGGGUCACGGAAUUGGCCCCGGGAAAUAGGAGGGAGGGGGUGAGGAAGAGCGCUUGAUUUACCAGCUGGGACUGUUAGCUGGAUGAGCUCUGACUAGGGAAUUAGGUUUACGGGCUCUGGUUGAGAGACCUGGGGUCCUGACAACUCCGCAGGCAAACUGCGCUCUAGGUGAGCGUAUAGUUUUUGUUUCUGUUUUUUUCUUCUCAUUAAGAUGCAACACCAAGAGAAAAUAAAUGGGGGGUGUUUAAAUGAGCCAAGGAAGGAACUUUCCUCCACAUCUAGCGCUGGCUCAAGUUUUUCUCCUCCAAAACAUUGAAUGGGAUCCAUUGCUGGUGCUGAGAUAGAUAUGCACUGAUUAAACCACAAGUUCUGGUCAUAACCAUUAUUUUAGGAGAGAUAUGUUGACUGAGCGGGUUAGGCAGCAGAUUCUGACUUCUUCCAGAACUUCCUCCUUACACACACACUGCUUGUCGUUGGGUUCUACUUUUUUUGGUAACAGAACCUGACUCCUUAUUAUGGAACCUGACUUUAAACUUGUUAGAUGAGCUGCUUUGGUCACUUUUUUUUUUCUUUUUUUUUAGCAAGUGUGAAAAAUAACCCCACUUUAAGUUUGGCAUUUGAGAGAAUUUUACUUCCUUAUAGUUGUGUCUGUAUAGUGAAACAUAGUAGUUAGUCCCAAGUAUUUAAAAGUGUUUAAACAGUCUAACGGUUCGUUCCAGAGAAUUCAAUAUUUCCUUGCUAUUUUUCACAUUUAUUAAUAACUUAUUUUUGCAAAAUUCAUUCUGCAGAUGAAAGGUGAUUAUUAGAAGGAUCAGGCAUAGCUUGUAAGAGAAUGGUGUUAUUUCCUCCAGAGUAAAAUUGUUUUUCUUUGGUGCCUCUCUGGGCCUAGAUUCCUCUUCUGUAAAGUUCUUCAUGGAUUGUUUUGCACUAGAAACAGCUAAUAAAAGUGACUGUGAAGCACUUGGCAAAUAUAAAUGUUCUAUAUAAAUUCUUAAUAAGUCCCGUGUAUGAGUUAGCACUCCUGUAGUGCAUACCAGUGGUUUCAGAAGCUACUUUUUCACUGCUGGUUUUUCUCAUGUUAAGUAAUUGGUAUGGUAAUUAAUAAACAAGUAUUUGUAUGUUGAUUAUAUUGGUGUUAUAAUGCUAAUUUCAUUAUUAGAAAUUGUAAUAAAACCAUUAAAGAAAGUUAGGCAUAAAGGAAAUUUUAAAUGCAUUGACGCCUUGAAAAUAUAUAUGGAAUAUAUUCAAAAGCCGAAGAUUGUAGGUUUGCAUUUUAGGGAUUUAGAGUUAAUGACUUAAAAAGUUUCUACUGGAAUGAAAAAACAUUUGCAUUUCUAAUUAGUUUCUCAUGGUAUCAACAUGCGAUGUAUCAAAAUCAUAUUGAUUAGAGACCUCUCCUUAAAAAUAAUAAACUUUUUAUCAAACUUUUGAGUCUAUGUAACGUAGUCCUUAAAAUAAGAUUUCCCUUUAAGUCUUUCUCAUUCAUCUCUUUAAAGAGUGUGUAUUGAAUUAUGAUUUCUUCCGCAGAAUGUUUAAUUAUUUGGGAAGUAUAAAGACCUCUCAGUUUUGAGUCAAUGCUUUUCAGGUUUCGGUAGUUUCAAGGAAAGUAGGCUUCUAGCUUUUCCAUUCUAGCGUUGGGAAAGGAAUGUUUUAUUCUUGUGUUGCUUGUUUUGGAAAAUGAUUUUUAGUACUUUUUGCCCCAUAUCACAUAUUACUGGUUGUGCUGAAAUGAAAGUAGUUCUUUCUGAUGUAUUAGUCCAGUAGGUUCAUACUGCUUUCUAGAUUUUCUGACUAAUUCUGUGGUGGUGUUAGAUUGCACCGUCUCUUUUACUCUUGCUGUUUAGAGCAUAGAUGUUCUCUUUUUUCACUUUAUUGUUGAAAGCCUUAAAUGUAUCACUAACCCUUCUUGACUUUAUGCCAUAUGAUAUAAGUGGAGAAGAACUUAGUGUCAGAUCUAUAGAUGUCCCACACAUUUAUUGACUUUAGCUCUAAGUCACCAUCUCAUAUCUGUUUUAACCUUGUCGUUGAAGCUAGGUGAAUAUUAUCCCAGCCUAUUAUUAAUCAGUUUAUUGGUUUAGCCCUGGGAACUGUCUCCUCUUCUCCAAUAUUGGAUGUAUACGGAUGGAGAAGUUGGCAUAAGUCAUGGGUUCUGGUCAACAUAGGCCCAAUUUACUAUUCCAUUGCAGAACUUAAACUCAUUCUUGGAAAAAUGCUUGUGCUAGAAUGCUUGCUAUUAAACAGAAGAUGUGGUCAGCCUCUAGGUUUUUUUUUUGCCACCUCGGUAUAUUGUAAUUAACAUUUGUGAGGAUACUUGUAUGUGAAGAAAGUGGCUAGUAAGUAAAGAGACAGCAGGGCAGGGGAGUGGAGAGAGCAAUCAUAUAAAUUGCCUUGAAUGUAAAUGUAGAAGUAUCAAGGUAUUUAAUUUAGUGAGAGACUCAAAAUUCCGUUAUGAAGUAGAGUGGGAGUUGGCAAACUUUCUGUCACAGGACAGAUAGUAAAUACUUUAGGCAUUGCUGGCCACAUAUGCAGUCCUAUAUUAUUUUUUUUUUAAAUAAAUUUAUUUUAUUUAUUUAUUUUUGGCUGUGUUGGGUUUUCAUUGCUGCACACGGGCUUUCUCUAGUUGCCGCAAGCAGGGUCUACUCUUUGUUGCAAUGCGUGGGCUUCUCAUUGCGGUGGCUUCUCUCAUUGUGGAGCACGGGCUGUAGGCACGCAGGCUCAGUAGUUGUGGCUCAUGGGCUCUAGAGCACAGGCUCAGUAGUUGUGGUGCAUGGGCUUAGUUGCUCCGCGGCAUGUAGGACCAGGGAUCGAACCCUUGUCCCCUGUAUUGGUAGGCGGAUUCUUAACCACUGCACCACCACGGAAGCCCACUAUAUUCUUCCUGUUGUUUUUACAACUCUUUAAAACUGUAAAAGCUGGGCUUCCCUGGUGGCGCAGUGGUUGAGAGUCCGCCUGCCGAUGCAGGGGACACGGGUUCGUGCCCCGGUCCGGGAAGAUCCCACAUGCCGCGGAGCAGCUGGGCCCGUGAGCCAUGGCCGCUGAGCCUGCGCGUCCGGAGCCUGUGCUCCGCAACGGGAGAGGCCACAACAGCGAGAGGCCCGCGUACCGCAAAAAUAAAAUAAAAUAAAAUAAAAGCCAUUCUUAUCUUGCAGGUGUACAAAAAAGGCUGCAGGCUAUAGUUUGUCCACCUCUGAAGCAGAGCAUCAUGCUGGCAGUAUUUUAGGUCCAUGCUAUGUUUUUAUUUUAAAUUAGCUUAUGUUAGUAAAACCUUAAGGUGUUCGUUUUUUUUUUUUUUUUUCCCUCCCGUAUGGUACGCGGGCCUCUCACGGCUGUGGCCUCUCCCGCUGCGGAGCACAGGCUCCGGACGCGCAGGCUCAGCGGCCAUGGCUCACGGGCCCAGCUGCUCCGCGGCAUGUGGGAUCUUCCCGGACCGAGGCACGAACCCGUGUCCUCUGCAUCGGCAGGCGGACUCUCAACUAUUGCGCCACCAGGGAAGCCCAGGUGUUCAUUUAUUUAAUGGACUAUAAUUUAUGGGAAAAAUGCUUUCCUUUAAAGCAUGGGUUUAAAAAAGCAUUGUAAAAAGAUAAUCCUUCUGCUACCUACCUUCUCCUGCUUGCCCUAAAAAAAAGCACCUUAAGUAACUUCCUGUAUUUUGGAAAUAAGAUGCACUUAAUAGAAUUUAUGAAUCGGUGUAUUUCAUUGGACUCUUUUCUCCCUUUCUUCUUACCUUUCUUCCUAUGCUUGCAUGCUCACUAAAUCAGGAGCAUAGUAGUGCUAGGUGUAAAUUCUUAUAUUCCAGGAGAUUACAUUAUAGUGAUAAGUGACUGUGUGUUCAAAGUGAUAUGGGAUCUCUUAAGUUUAAACAUCAUGUACAUAUUUCUUCUCUAUCUUAACCUCUGAAGAUUGUAAACUCCGCGAGGACAGCAACUGUAAUCUCUUUAUCUCCUGCAGUGUCCAGUCACAAGGCCUUACACAAUAGUAAGUGCAUUGUAAAUAUUUGUUAAACUGCUUUGUGUGCCCCAAAGGAAUUCUGAAAGGAAAAGGUAUGGGGGUGGGAAUCAUUUUUAAUUACAUUAAACUUAUUUCUUUCUUUCAGUAGUUCUUUGGCGGUGUCAUCCCUAUUUUAUGCAUACUUAGCCUCAGAGAGGUUAUGUAACCUAGUGAAUAGGGGAGCUUGACUUGGAAUCCAGGAUUACCCACCUCCUAAGGCUUAGUUAUUUCCUCCGUACAGUGACUUCUCAGGUAUACAACAAAGUCUUGAUGACAAAAGUCAUUUUUCAGAAAGUGACCUGUGUAGGUAUACAACAGCAAUUCUCACACACGCACACACACACUCUCACACCCGCCAUUCACACACUCAGGCAAAGUAGAUGUUCUCUUGAAUGAUGUUAACGUGGUGUUUAACUAGUACCAUUAAAAGAAAUCUCUUCUUUUAAGUUAAGGGUUUGUGUCUCUUCAAAUUAUGUGGACUGGUUACUUUGCAUGGUUAUCAUGGAAGUUUGUACACGUUAUUCUCCCAUUGCACUUAAUUCAUGCCAUUCAGCUCUGAUGGCAGCUGUCCUUGAUGAAACAUCUGCAGUGCGGUGGGGGGGCUCUCAAUACAAUAAAUGUGGGCAUUUCAUCUUGUAACACCCACCAGGUGGUGCUGGUUCAUGUUAUGUUUCUUCUAAAAAUUGGAAACCCUUUCUGUUGCUAUUGUAUUAAUAAAGUAGGUGUUUAUUUUCUGGUAGUCAGCCCCUUCCCAAUUUAAUUUUAACUCUAGGAAUUUUAGUCACCCAGGAAUUUGUGAUUAAAAAUAAAGGUAUUGGGAUUCAUUAAAAAAAAAAGUGAUAGCAUUUACCACUUUUUAUUUCAUCUGUCUCUCCCUCCACUAGAGCUCUUCAGGAUCAAGGCUUUGUCUUUUUUUAAAAUUUAUUUUUGGCUGCACUGGUUCUUCGUUGCUGUGCAUUGGCUUUCUCUAGUUGUGGCAAGCGGGGGCUACUCUUCGUUGCGGUGUGCGGGCUUCUCAUUGCGGUGGCUUCUCUUUGUUGCGGAGCACGGGCUCUAGGCGUGCGGACUCAGCAGUUGUGGCUCGUGGGCUCUAGAGCGCAGGCUCAGUAGUUGUGGCGCACGGGCUUAGUUGCUCCGUGGCAUGUGGGAUCUUCCCGAACCAGGGCUCGAACAUGUGUCCCCUGCACUGGCAGGCGGAUUCUUAACCACUGCGCCACCAGGGAAGUCCCAAGACUGUCUUAACAUCAGUUCCUGUGCCUAACACAUAGUACGUGCUGAAUGAAGUGCAAACAUUUUAACAAAGUAAAAUGAGAUCAAAACAUGUUCCCACAUUUUCUAUGUGAUUAAUUAGGAGGAUCAGGUAGGGAAUCUUUUUUUUUUUUUGAGUGUUGAAUUAAAGUAACAUUUACUAAAAGUAGUUUUACCUUUUUUGGUUAUAAGGGUAAUAUACAGUCAUUGUAAACAAAAAGGUUGUGUUGUUUUCAUGCCUAUUAAAAAUUCCCCCAAGGGAUGUAAAAUUCUCCCUAGUUCCGUAUGAAAUGUGAGCUCACUGAGCAUUUCAUGUGAUUCAUGAUAGAAAUUUUGAAGGGUAUAUGGAAUAAAAGUAGGGUUAGGCCAGGGAAGAACGUAAUCUGCCCUGUUCAUUUCAUGGCUUUGGUUGAAGUUUUUGGUGACCCUUGCUGUAGUACAACCUGUUUUUAAUAUGUUGUUUGUUGGCUGUAUACACAUGGGCAGAUUGGUCCCCAAGUCUUCACUUUCAGUGGAGUUCAUGUUAUAGUCAAACAUACAGAUAAUGCUUAUACUAUGAAAAUCACCCCCCUAAUAACUAACCUAGAGCAUUAAAAGAAAAAUGGACUAAGCAUUAGUUUGAAAACUGAGUCUAAAUUUCAAUCACAUUUUCCAAUGAAGUUGUUAAUUCUGAUCUUAGAAUUAAUUCUGAUUGUUAGGUUUGUUGGAAGAGGGGGAUUAUAACAAGCAAGUCAUUGUGAAAUGUUUUCAUGAUUAGCACAUUUUGUGCUGGAAGGAAAUAGGUGGGAGUAGUCAACCAGGAGCACUGGAAGCCAGCCUCAGCUCUGUCCCCACAAUGUUCCUUCCUGCAGCAGCUUCCAAAAGGAGGAGGGGAAAGGGGUGCAGUGAUGGUAUUGGUGGUACACACCCACUGGGGAUUCAAGCCCUAGGAGAUGGAAUGUCACUGCCAUAGAAACUCCUAAAUCAGCAAUGACCCUGGGUCUCCCCUCUGCAACUUUUGGGAUGGGUGGCGAGUCUUGCUUAGCAGACUCCUCUGCCUUGGGUGCCUUCUUACAGCCACCACUGACCUUCCCUCUUGCUCUGGGAUCAACCACAAGAAAUCUUAAAAUGAGGCCAACUCACUGCUACUUCAUUGAGGGGGAUGGGAUACUAAUUCCUGCCUCCUUCUUUCUUAGACCUACUUUGAAUAGCAGUACACAGGUGUAGCACUCUUUGUGAAAAACAAUUUAUGAACCAUAAAAUAUGCAGAACAAAAAUGUAAAGGUCUCCAUUUACUCUCAUACCUCAAAAUGACUGCCCUCUCCAGAGGUAACCAGUGUCUACUGUUUGGGGUCCAUCCCUCCAGUCCCUUUUUCUAAGCAGCUCCGAGAAGGCUGGAUGGAUAGCAUUGCCCUUGAAAGAUUUAUGACUUGAGCAAGUUGUUGCCUUUUUAGCAUUUACUCACUAAGACUGAUAACCGAGUUCUAAUAAUUCCUUAUAUUGCUGAGCAGUUUAUAAUUUCACAUCUGAUACAGCAGAAAUUUCAAAAUAAUGUGUCUUAUGAGAAAGAAACAGAUUCAGAGAGUUUAAGUAACAUAAACCACCCAACUAAUACUUUUAUUUUUUUAUGUGGAUCUUGAACUGCUGUUCAGACUCUAAGUGAUUAUUUUUUUAAAAGAUUAUUUAUUUAUUUAUUUUGGGCUACAUUGGGUCUUCGUUGCUGCACGCGGGCUUUCUCUAGUUGCGGCGAGCGGGGCUACUCUUCUUUGCAGUGCGGGGGCUUCUCAUUGUGGUGGCUUCUCUUGUUGCGGAGCAUGGGCUCUAGUCGCACAGGUUUCAGUAGUUCUGGCACGCGGGCUCAGUACUUGUGGCUCGUGGGCUCUAGAGCGCAGCCUCAGUAGUUGUGGCGCACGGGCUUAGUUGCUCCACGGCAUGUGGGAUCUCCCCGGACCAGGGCCCGAACCCGUGUCCCCUGCGUUGGAAGGUGGAUUCUUAACCACUGUGCCACCAGGGAAGUCCCUCUAAGUGAUUCUUAUAAGCCAGUGCCUCUCAGACUUUAACAUGAAUUCAGAUCAUCUGGGGAUCUUGUUAAAACAUAGAGUCUGAGUAGAUCUGAUGUAGGGCCUGAGAUUCUGUGUUGCUGACAGGGAUCACACAAGUAGCAAGGCCCCAUACCACAGUUGCUUUUUUUUUUUUUACAUCUUUAUUGGAGUAUAAUUGCUUUACAAUGGUGUGUUAGUUUCUGCUUUAUAACAAAGUGAAUCAGUUAUACAUAUACAUAUGUUCCCAUAUCUCUUCCCUCUUGUGUCUCCCUCCCUCCCACCCUCCCUAAAAGGUGUUAAUUAUUAUGUUCUUAAAUUUGGAAAGUAAUACAUACUUAUAAAAUUACACAUUUUUAAGCAAAAGUGGGAUUUUUAAACAAAAACGCUUCUAGAAUUAAAAAUUUUUUUUGCUACAUUAUGGAGAUUAUCCAUGUUAAUACUACAUGUAGGUCUCCCUGAAUAAUUAUUUUUUAUAAAUUUGUUUAUUUAUUUAUUUAUGGCUGCAUUGGGUCUUUGUUGCUGUGCGCGGGCUUUCUGUAUUUGCAGUGAGCAGGGGCUACUCUUCGUUGCAGUGCGUGGGCUUCUCAUUGCGGUGGCUUCUCUUGUUGCAGAGCAUGGGCUCUAGGCAGGUGGGCUUCAAUAAUUGUGGCACGCGGGUUCAGUAGUUGUGGCUCACGGGCUCUAGAGUGCAGGCUCAGUAGUUGUGGCGCACGGACUCAGUUGCUCUGCGGCAUGUGGGAUCUUCCCAGACCAGGGCUGGAACCCAUGUCCCCUGCACUGGCAGGUGGAUUCUUAAGCACUGCGCCACUAGGGAAGUCCUGAAUUCUUUUUUUAAGGGGUGUAUAAGAUUUUAUAAUAUGGAUAUAUAUGUUUAUUUAACAAAUUCAUAUUGAUAGUCUUCUAGGUUAUUUCUGAUUUUUAAUACUAGAAACAAUGCUGCAGUGACUAUUAUGCAUGUGCUAAACAUUCUUUAGAAUAAACUUCUAGAAAUGAAAUGUACUGGGUCAAAGGAAUCAUACAUUAAAGUUUGAAAAGUAUAAUAUUGGCACAUUGCCUUCCAAAAAGUCUGCUUUCAUCCACAAUCCUUGUCUAGUUUGUUGAUUUAAAUAUGGUAGCUGAUUCCUAGUUACUUUAGGUGAAAAUUACGUUGGCACCUUUUCCACCAUCACACUUUCAUUAAACAUGAACUUUUUGCUGGGUGCUAGGGAGUUAAGGAUGACUCAGUCCUCAUACUUGCAAACUGGUGAUAUAACUGAAGGUGUUCAAAGGGAUCAGGGAACCCCCUGUGGGAAUCAUUAGGCAAAUCUUUACUUAAUCCUUGAGACCAGAGAGGAUUGGGACUGGGGAGGGACUAGACCAAGCAGAGAGCUCCACAAUAUCCUAAUUCACAGUUGUGCCUUAAUUAGGGUCUGACAUCCAAAAAUGAUGCUAAAGUCAUUUAAUCUCUUGUUCAUGCUAAGUAUUGGUUUGAAGUUGCACUGAUAAGUCUGAGAAGAGAAUUAUAUUUUCCUUUUAAAAACAGAAUCCCUGUAUAAAAACUGCAUGGUUAAGCUGUUAGCGCAUGUCGGUUAUUUAAUUUCCUACAUUGUACUGGCUGUAUUUUUUUUUCUGCAAUUAAUGUGAUAAAUGAAAGUAAUGAGAUUGGUAAUUAGUUGUAAGUGACAUAGUGCUUUAAAUAAAUAGUGUUGGGAGGUAUUUGAGAAGUGUUGGGUAGUAAUUACAGUUCAAGUCCCUGAAUGGGUUUUGAUAAAUCAGUAAUGGAGAAGAGUAAUUAGAAGUAAAAGACUUUUUUUUCUUGGAGCCAUUAUCUAGUGAUGAUAUGUUUCUUUUAAAAAAAGUAUGGGUUUCUGAUUUCUCUUUGAAAAACUGUCAUAAGUUUUCAUUUAAAAGCUUCACUGUGUAGUUACACUUGUAAAACUGUUAAAUCUCUUCAAAUUUCUGAGUUGAUUAGUUUCUAAAACUUGAAGCUUUAAGAAAAGAAAUUAAUUGAUCUAACUCUUAAUUUAUAGAGGGAGAGAGACCUAGAGAGAUGAGUAACUUGCCCAGGGUCACAUAGCCAGUUAAUGUCAGUCACCAGACUAAGACCCAGGUCUCUGGACUCCUACCCUGGUGUCCUUUCUGCUGUACCUCCUGUUCUCUUGAGCAACUGAUUCUUUUAAAACUGUAAUCAAAUUUUAUGUGUUUUAUGUAUAGCUCACCAUACUGAAUACUUGCUUUUGAAGCUUAGUGCUUAUUUUAAUCAUGCUUUUUAACAUAUGAAAAAGUUUGAAAUGAAAAAUGAUUCCAUGGAUAAGUUAAGGUCUACAGAGAUAAAAAUACUUAGUCAUUCACAGUCAUAUAUGCUUAUAGUUUUCUGCCUAGUUAGAAAUACAAUUCCUUAGUGUUAGAAAAGAUUCUGUGUUCAGAACAGAAUUAGGCAUAGGCACUGUUCUUUGUAACUUUUCUGUUUUUAAAAAUUUAGCAAUUUCCAAACAUAAUUUUACUCCUCUUUGUUGUAAUCAUAGCACUUUCCAAAUUUUUUCUAUUGACCAUUGAGCCCUUGGCAGAAGCAAAGGGAGGAGCUAGGCCAGUGAGGAAGCUAUUAUGAAUGGAGUAUAUAGCAGCUGUGCAAGGAUACUGUUGGUUUCCCAGAACUAAGCAUAUUUCUUUUUGACAUUGUUCUGAGUGAUGCUGUAAAUGUACAGGCAGAAGUAAACAAAAGGAAGGCAUUUUUGCUAUUGUAAGACUUGGAAAGCAAAAUAAAAUUGAGAACAGACUAAGCAGGAAAGUAUCUUUCGGAAAUUUUUUGGUGAAUUUUUUACGCUCAGAAUGCACAUUUGUGCUUUAGAGGUUAACUAAAACUGCCAAUUUAACAUUCACUGAUAAAGGCAGGUUCUUUUGGCUUUUGAUGUUUGUUAACUAUUGACUUGAAUUAUUCACAAAGCCUUUUGGAAACUUUUUCCCUAGAGGUUAUAAAUAUUUAGGGAAUUUUUUUUUUUUUCUUUACAGAAGAUUUUAAUGUCAAAAGAGUUGCUCUACCUAUAUACUUACUUUAUGGUCUGUGUUAGUGUUAAGGAGUGCUGAUUUCCCUGGUCAUGUGAUUGAUUUGUCUUUGAAAGAUCUUGAGAAAAGCAGAUAUUUAACCUACAGUUGAUCUUUACAAGGUCACAUUCUAAGGAGGGACAGAUAACAUUUGUGGAACGUACCUGAUAGUAGUUUGAAAAUGCGAACUAAUCAAGUGUUUGGGAGACAUUUAAAAACUCAUGAUAUUUUAAAUCUGUUAUGAGGGGUAAUAUGUUUUUUCAGGUCAUUGUCAUUAAUCAGCGUUUAUUUUAUUUUAUUAUUUAUUUAUUUAUUUAUGCGGUACACGGGCCUCUCACUGUUGUGGCCUCUCCCGUUGCGGAGCACAGGCUCCAGACACGCAGGCUCAGUAGUUGUGGCUCACGGGCCUAGUUGCUCCGCGGCAUGUGGGAUCCUCCCAGACCAGGGCUCGAACCCGUUUUCCCUGCAUUAGCAGGCGGACUGUCAACCACUGCGCCACCAGGGAAGCCCAAUCAGCGUUUAUUAAUUGCUUACUAUAGGUUGGGCAGAGCAAUUUUAGUUUAGUUUUGUUGUUGUUGAAAGGAAGUAUACCUUUUUUUCCAGAGGUAUUAGGCGAAUAAUGCAUUUUAACCUGAAUUCUUAAUGUUAAUGCAUUUGCCUUUAAAUAGGAAGAAUAUAUUAUGGGUUGGCAUGUGUAGCUCUGGAUAUAAAUGUAAAUAAUUUGGGGGGAGCUCUGCUUGCUUUGGACCUUUGAAGGAGUGGAUACUGUAGUUUUUGCAGAUUGUUGGUCACCCUGUUCUUGGGUGGCCUGCUGCCUUUUCUCUAUUCCUUGGUUACCAAGUAGUCAGAGACUAUGCAGGUUUGGAAGGGUAGCUGUGGCAUGGCCAGAUGGUAGGAAUAAGGGUGUCAGUUUCUGGGAGUCAACAAAGGGUGAUGUGAGGUCUAACAUUCUGUCUUCAAUAGAUAAUUCCUGCCUAACCUGCAGUUAAACCUGGUCGAGUUGUAUGGAAAUGGGGAGGGAACUGGCAUUGAAUGUCUACUUUAUUGGAAACUCUGCAGUCCUUUCAUAAACAUUUAUUAUGAGGUGGGUAUUGUCGCUGUGUUACAGGUAAAAGAACUGAGGCUCAGAGGUUAAGAAAUUUACUGAAGGUAAAUGACUGAAACAGGACAUCCUGAUGUGGCUAUUUGGUGUAAUCUUGUCAAGAUACUAAAACAUUUUAAUUUUAAUUCAACACAUAAAAGCUUAUAUUUUAGUCUUCAUCAUACUGUCUCCUUGUUAAUUCCCUGAUACUCCACAUCUCUCCCUUAAUGACCCUCUUCACCUCGCUCUCUACACUUUAGUCUCACUGACCUUUCUAUUCCUCAAAUCCAAACCUAUUCUCAUAGGGCUGUUGGAUUAGUUGUUCCCUCUGUUUGGGCUACUCUUCUGCUGAUUCUACAUGACGGGCUCCUUCCUGUAAUUUUAACUCUUAGCCUAAAUUCACCUCAGAGAAGCUUUCCCUACUCACUGUGCUAAAGUAGUCAUCCAGCAUUUUCUUAUUAUUCUAUUUUAAUUGUCUGUAUAGAACCUGAUAUUUUUCUUGUUGAUUUCCUUUUUGUUGUUUAUUGCCUGAUUCCUCUCAGAUUCAGGGGUAUCGUAUUUUUACUUCUGUGUCCCAGUGCCUGACAUAUAUUUGUUGAAUGGAUACGUUGAGAAAAAUCAAAAUCAGGUGCAAUCUUCUUAAACGUACUGCCUUCAUAUCUCUGAAUCUGUAUCUGUCUAAACCUGUCCUCAUUCCCUUUCUGCCUGUUUUAAAGGAAGGAGGUGUCCCUUCUUUUAAUGGUAUUGGGUGUUUAGUGCUCUAGCUGUGUUGUAGAUCCCGUUUUCCAUUUUCUUUUAAUUUAUCUUUUUCUCUUCUGGUUCUUUUUCCAUAUAAAACAUGCUCAGUAUUCUCUGAAGAUAGAAACCUUCGAUCAUGUACCUCUUGUAGUCUUUGCUGAAUCUUGAUCUCUUAGUCUCAACAUCAGUCUCCCCUAACUCCCUCCAUGGACUAUUUAAGAACCUACCAUUUUAAUAUUUUUAUUAUAAAUAUAUAUUCUGUAAAAAUAUAUUCUGAAUAUAUUCUUCCAAAUGAGGUUUUGGAAUGUAAUACUUAUAAAUUGGGUACUAUUUAUUUUAAUUGGUAUGAGUUCUUAACUCUGUUGCAUUUAGAAUAUAGCUGUCUUCUGAGGUAGAGUCUUUUUUUCUUGACUGUGUUGUUCCCUUUUGGCUUGAAACCCUUGAUAGGAUGAGCAGCUUCCUAAAACACUGUUAAAACAUUCAUAAAUCAUAUAUUUUUGUUGAUUCAGCUUGUCUUUAUUUGCCAGGCUUAUAUAGGGCUCUUUUUCAAGAGUACAGGAAAUGAUGUACAGAGGAUAAAAUAUUUAGUUUAAAAAUUUUAAUACUGUCUUACAUCAUUUGAAGAGACAUUAGUAAUUAAAUUGGAAUUUUGCAAUUGUUCCAGGUGGACCUAGUGAUCCCACUUCUGGGGGAUCUAUCCUAAGGAAAUAAUCUGAUGUUUAGAAGAAUAAAAUGCCCAAAGAUGUUCAUCACAGCGAUACUUGUAAUAGCAAAGACUUAAAAACAGUAUAAAUGUUAAAGUGGAGGGGAUGGUUUAAGAUAUGGUAUGUCUAUAGAGUGGAAUCAUUUAGACAUCUUUAAAAAGUUUAUAAUGAGCUUUUGGUGAUGCAAGAAAAUAGGCAUUUUAAAAUAUUAAAGAGUAAGAAGUCAGACUUCUGCUUCUACCAUUGUUAGACUAGGCUGUUUCGAACCAAAUAAUACUGCUGGCAACUAGAAAAGCUAGAAGAUGUUGAAGAGCUAUGAAGGCAGUGAGGAAUUAGAGGCCAGGUUCUGGAAGAUAAGGAAAGCUCUGAGAGGUAAGCCUUAUUUUUGAGGCUGCCUUUUCCAUGAGGUCAUUGCUGAUUCUGGAAGUGAUAGCUGAGAGGCUGAAUAGAGUUUUCAAAAUGCUCAUGUCAAAAAAAAAAAAAAAUGCGCAUGUCAAGGAGGACAAAAAAUUGGAAUUAGGGCCUGCCAAGGUGGAGGGCCCUGGGAAACACUCUAGGUUUUGGGGUUGGGUCCCUGAGGGCCUGAAUUGUAGGAGUAAGGGUGAAACAGAAGUAAACCAGUCUUUACAGGGCACUGAAGACUGAAGCCCAGCUUUUUAAUCUUCUCAAUUUUGGGUUAGAUUAAGAUGACCUGGAAUUCCUAGUGUCCCUAGCCAAAUCUGACUGCUAGAAGCAAAAGUAAAUCCUUUCUGGGCUUCCCUGGUGGCGCAGUUGUUGAGAGUCUGCCUGCCGAUGCAGGGGACAUGGGUUUGUGCCCCGGUCUGGGAAGAUCCCACAUGCCACGGAGCGGCUGGGCCCAUGAGCUAUGGCCGCUGAGCCUGCGCGUCCGGAGCCUGUGCUCCGCAGCGGGAGAGGCCACAGCAGUGAGAGGCCCGCGUACCGCAAAAAAAAAAAAAAAGUAAAUCCUUUCUGAAUAACAUCAUCCGUAGCCUCAGAUUGUCUCUAUAAUUUUUUAUAUACAGUGUUCAGCACUCAAUAAAAAAUAAUUAGGCUUACGAAAAAACAAACUACAACUGAAAACCAACAGGAAAGAUUGAUAAAAGGUACAUACAGGGGAUACAGAUAUUUGAGAUAUCAGUCAUGGACUUAUAUCUAUGAUUAAUGUGUUAGAAGAAUUAAAGAUAAAAUAGAGGGCUUCCCUGGUGGCACAGUGGUUGAGAGUCCGCCUGCCGAUGCGGGGGACACGGGUUCGUGCCCCGGUCCGGGAAGAUCCCACAUGCCGCGGAGCGGCUAGGCCCGUGAGCCAUGGCCGCUGAGCCUGCGCAUCCGGAGCCUGUGCUCCGCAACGGGAGAGACCACAACAGUGAAAGGCCCGUGUACCGUAAAAAAAAAAAAAAAAAAGAUAAAAUAGAUAA
This is a long non-coding RNA of Orcinus orca (killer whale), 14360 nucleotides long. RefSeq lists it as uncharacterized. The transcript has 2 exons. The record is from RefSeq and is a predicted model, not a curated record. Lineage: Eukaryota; Metazoa; Chordata; Mammalia; Artiodactyla; Delphinidae.